CAGGUGCUGCAUGGCUGUCGUCAGCUCGUGUCGUGAGAUGUUCGGUUAAGACCGGCAACGAGCGCAACCCACAUCUUUAGUUGCCAGCAGUUCGGCUGGGCACUCUAAAGAAACUGCCCGUGAUAAGCGGGAGGAAGGUGUGGAUGACGUCAAGUCCUCAUGGCCCUUACGGGCUGGGCUACACACGUGCUACAAUGGCAGUGACAAUGGGUUAAUCCCAAAAAGCUGUCUCAGUUCGGAUUGGGGUCUGCAACUCGACCCCAUGAAGUCGGAAUCGCUAGUAAUCGCGUAACAGCAUGACGCGGUGAAUACGUUCCCGGGCCUUGUACACACCGCCCGUCAAACCAUGGAAGCUGGGAGUGCCUGAAGUCGGUUACCGCAAGGAGCCGCCUAGGGUAAAACUGGUAACUAGGGCUAAGUCGAAACAAGGUAGCCGUACCGGAAGGUGCGGCUGGAACACCUCCUU
Molecule: ribosomal RNA, 466 nt
Filed under: Thalassiosira antarctica
Lineage: Eukaryota; Bacillariophyta; Thalassiosirophyceae; Thalassiosirales; Thalassiosiraceae
Description: partial Bacterial small subunit ribosomal RNA
Rfam family: Bacterial small subunit ribosomal RNA
Source: RNAcentral